UACGUAGGGGGCAAGCGUUGUCCGGAUUCAUUGGGCGUAAAGAGCGUGUAGGCGGCCAGGUAGGUCGGUUGUGAAAACUGGAGGCUCAACCUUCAGAGGUCGACCGAAACCAUCUGGCUAGAGUCCGGGAGAGGAGAGUGGAAUUCCUGGUGUAGCGGUGAAAUGCGCAGAUAUCAGGAAGAACACCCGUGGCGAAAGCGGCUCACUGGACCGGAACUGACGCUGAGGCGCGAAAGCGUGGGGAGCAAACAGG
RNAcentral lists this ribosomal RNA (253 nucleotides) under uncultured bacterium. Its description in RNAcentral is "partial 16S ribosomal RNA". It matches the Rfam family "Bacterial small subunit ribosomal RNA", at positions 524 to 776 of the family's 1533-position model. The record is from RNAcentral.